GUCUCCUGAGCAAUUGGUUGUCAUUGUCCUAAACAGAGCAGCUAGGUUAAAAAGAUUUAUCCAUAAUGUAACCUCCUGGCCCUCAGCUAUGGGUGGAAGCAGCACUUUCUGGUUUGACCUCCUAAUACCACAAACUCCACUUUGCCAGAAAAGUGACUUCUUGAUGAAUAGUCUGUUCAGAUAGGCCAAUUUGGAGUAUAUUCAUAUUUGGCCACCUGCUGGAGCGUCAAUGACCAAGAGGAGACCAGAUGAGUUUUCAAAGCAGUCCUCAAACACCCAGGACACACCUCAUCCUUUACCUCGUGCUUUCUGCAAUGUUGCUGUUCAUGUUCAUCUUCCUAUUAACAUUUGCCAUAAUAACCCCUCAUUGACCACCAUCAUUCCUCCAUCCACCACCAACUCAGCUCCUUCUCUAAAGUGCCCUCUAAUGGGCAGUGGCUUUGGUCUCUGUUUGGCAAAUUAUGUCCAGAGGGUUAACAUUAAUUUCUCUUUCUCCUAUUCCUCCCUCAUGCUAGAUUCAGUCCAUCACUCAGCCUCCUGUCAGGAAAACCAUAGCAAAUCCUACUUUCUGCUAAAAUGAAGUUACAAGACACUUUUCCAGAGUAGUCACACUCAAUGAAGGGACCCAGGGUGUAUCUGAGUGUGAUGUAAUUGAAACCACAUGGAAAGACUAGAAAUACCUUGCUCCCAGUCAGAUAUAGUGAAACAGCUUACUCAAGACUGGACUAAGAUUUAGAAUAUAGGGGGGCUAGGGAGGAGAAAGAGAAAGAUCCUCAGAAGUGGAUUGUCCCUGAAUACAGGAUGAAAUCAUCUAGAUUUUUUUCUCCAAUUAAAUUUGCAUUUCAUUCAACCACAUUGCAAUGGCUUCAUACUGGGCAUUUUCAUUUGAGACCCAAGGCUUUUCUUCAUGGGUCCUGAGCCACAGGUUCCUGGAUGGUGAGGUAAGCUAGCACUGAUGGAAGAUACCAGGUUUUCAAAUGUGAACUGAAGUCUCUCUUCUCAUGACAAGAUUCAGAUCCAAUUCAUUAUUUAACUAAUAGCCUCUCCAAUAAGUACAAAAAAUCUUGCCUAUCCAGCAGAUAUGUUAGUCCAUUAUUCCUCUAUGUCCCCCAGCCUAUACUUAUUAGACUAGGAAUUAAAGAAAUACAAUCCCCAUUCUUUACUCUUGGCCUACCAGAUAUAGUGAUCCAAGCUUAGUAGAUCAGCAGCUAAUUGCAAGGCUGCUUUAAUAGUGAAUGAAUAAAAAGUUCUGCUAAUUCAGACCUACCCAACACCCAUGAAUUUGUGAUUGAGCUAUCUCUCUGCCUGCUGAAUUCAGGUAGAUAAACAACUGUCCUUCAACCACAAGGUUAAGGCUAAACUUAUGCAGGUAUCUCUAAACAUGCUGCAGAUUGUUCUUUUCUCUCUGUGGCCAUGCUUCCCAACCCCUGACACCUUUCUAUUUAGCCUCUGCUAAGCUCAAGUGUGCUGGAAUCCUGAUCCCUGCCCCAGCCUCAGCCCCCUAUCAUGUGCUUGCUUUAGCUCCCCUGUCUUUGCUGAGAUCCUCACCAUGAAACCAACUCUAGGUAUUCCUGAGUGACUCUCUAGGUUCUCAUUCUCUCCAAUGUGCCUUUUAUCAGCAAGGCAUGGGAAAACCUAUCAUCUGGUUCUCCAAGGUGUCCAGCAGUUAGAAUGGCUGAGAGGAGGGCAUUUGAGUUUGCCCAUCGAUAAUGGGGUUGUGCGAAAAGCAGAUAUUGUCUCAACUGUUCUGAAGUUGAACAAUGUUACUUUCAGGUGAAUAGACUGUUGAGACUAUUUUGAGUUGUUGAUGGCAACCAAAAAAAAAGGGGGAAGGGGUGGAAUUACAGUCACUUUCCUCCAGCAUCCAGUGGUCCUUAAAACUUUCACCCUCAAAUCUCCAAAUAUGCUGGCUUCUAAGAAGUGCUUUCCAAGACCGAAUAUACUUCUUGAUCAGGGUAAGUGAUGAAAAUGUGUAUUUAACAAGGGGAGGGGAUCUUGAAAUAGCCUGAAUUAUGCAUGCUGUGGCCUAUCUACCCCCACCGUGCUAAUGGCUCAGCCUAUAAAGUUUUCAGAAUCAGAAAAAUAAUCAGAGAUGCUAGUUUCUGAAGGAGCGACGGAGGACUAGGAUGACUAGCUAACUCAAGGUGCAUGUAGACUUUCUGCUGUUCUUACUUUAGGAAAGGUUUCUUGGAAGACUGGACCAGGGAGUUCCUAAUUCUUCCCUGGACCAUCUCAGGGGCAUCCUCGGUGUGAGUGGAAGCAUGCUUGGAUGCAGCAGCCUGAAUGAAUGUCAAGUUCACUGCAUCUCCACCACAAACUGGUUGGUUUCAGGCAAAUCCCUUGAGUUUUGGAUGAGGCUAAACCAGCUAGGGCUUUCCUUGAAAUAGGAUGGAGGGGUCUCUUCUCACAGGCAGAGAGCCUUAUUCAGGGGGCAUCUAUUCGCUAACAGGCUUCUUAGGAGGAAUAGAUCAGUCUCGUUAUUCAGAAAAUGUCUGAGAAAGUCCCAGACACCUCCAACUCCACAUGUUGGGGGAUAGACCUGGAAUAUUAAAGAUCAGAGGUUGGAAUCGAGGCAACAUGAUGGAGUGAUGUGGCAUGAGUAUUGGAGCCAUACAGAUAUGAAUUUGAUCUGAUCCUUAGUUUUGUAACUUCAAGUUCUAAGACUUUUAGACAAGCUGUUUAAACGUUAUGGUCUCCAUUUCCCUAGCUUUCAAAUGGGAAAAAUAAUAACUGUUUUGGGAGUGAUUUCUAUGCUCAACAAGCCUAAGGGGUAGGUACCAUUAUCAUAAUGACACCUAGAGAAUUGCCUUAAGGAUUAAAUAAAGCUUCUUAUGUAAAAGUGUCCGGCACAGUGUCUGGCAUAUAGUUGAAGCUGAAAAACUAUUGGUUUCUUCUCUCUCCCUCUUUUCCUUAGGCCAAAAUAGUUCUGCUCCCUGAUGAAGACACCUUUAGGAAAAGAGGAAUCCUUUUCCUAGACUUCCUCCCUGAGGGACUUCCCUUGGUUGAUAUCAUGGGAGCUGGACUGUUUUUCCUUCUCCAAAUCCAG
Molecule: long non-coding RNA, 3046 nt
Filed under: Homo sapiens (human)
Lineage: Eukaryota; Metazoa; Chordata; Mammalia; Primates; Hominidae
Description: HSALNT0362472
Source: RNAcentral